CUCGGGACCGGAAAGGACGAUGUGGUCGGGGUGCGCUGGGGAAGCCAGUGCCAGAGGUAAGACACCCUUAUUAGGUGGUGUUGAGAGAAAAGAGCCAAGAAAUGCCCCCGUGAGGCCAGCGUGGGUGAUGAUUCUCUGCUAAUUAAUUGUAUUUGGAAGGGUGUAAGUUGCUGCCUCAAGGAGACCGUUGUGUGUUGAGGGCUGGAAAUGCUGUCUUCUACAGCUCCUGACACCUGGGCUGGGCAGACACUCAUAGCAACUUUGUGACGUUCCUGGCAAUGCAACAUCACUUUACACAGGGAGACUGAGCAAGAGAAACAGCCACUUGCCUGUGGUCAUGGGGUGGGAGAGUAAAUCCAGUCCCCAGUACUCCAUCUCGGGUGGGAGCAGAUGUCAGAAGGGGACAUUUGAACACAGACUUGAAGGAGGAUCUCUGAAUUGACUGAAGUAACUGAAUUAAUGGAGAGAUGCAGGAGUGAAAGCUUGAGACAGCUGGGAACUGAUGCACUAAACCAGGCAACAGAUGAUGGAGAUGCGGCUGCUGCGGCCUCCGGGGGACACUUUGAGAACCACCGCUGCAUUGUGUGCCCAGUCCGGUUGGGUGCCUGUAGGUGCAGACCCUGAGAUGGAGCUGGCAUGCUUCUGUCUUGGUCUCGGGUUCGAUCAGCUGGGGAAUCCAGCUGCCAGGCUGUGGAGUCACUCAAGCAGCCCAUGGAAAGGCCCGCAUGGCAAGGAACUGAAGUCCCCCCUCCAGCUGGGGCUGACUUGCCCAUCCCAGGAAUGAGCCACCUUGGAAGCAGAGCCGGCAGCGUCAGUCAAACCUUCAGAUGAGUGCAGCCCGCAAACCAGCCAGCCAAAUGGAUCCCAAAUUCCUGACCCAGAGAAAUCAUGAGACCUACUAAAUGACUCUUGGAACACACCUGUGUGACUACCAUCCAGAUGCAGAUGAAGAACGUCCCCAGGCACCAGCACACUCCCUCCUGCCCAUCCCCCAGCAGCCCCAGAGAACAAACAACGUCCAAGCCUGAGGUCUGGGAUCUGCCACCAUUGACCCUGCACCUGGGUGGGGUCCAUCUCAGGAGAGAAACCCAGGACGCACAGAGAAGCUGCGGAGGAUGUCCCAGCAAGAGCCCAGAGCUCGGGGCGCAAAUGCUCGCCUUACUGGGGGUGGAAGACAGAAAAAUACCUCUCCUCUCAGGUGCCAGUUCUAAAAGCAAGAACCAAAAAGUAUCUUGACAGAUGACCCUGAUGUGAAACCAGCACAUUCUAGAGUGUCACCCGACCACACAGUGAACAGUUUGCCGACCCCGCUGCCAGGCAGAUCUGCUUUCCUCUGGCCACAGCUCCUCUUGGCUUUAUUAUUCCCAUUUCACAGAUGUGGAAAUGGAGGCUCUGGGAGUUUAAGUGACUAAAGCCGCAGGAGUGACGGCCCAGGCUUUGGGACCUUGUGACUUUGGGUACAUAACUCCCCCUUCCUGAGCAUCCCAUUAGCUGAAGCACAGGUAACAAGAUGCAUUCCUGAUGGAGCUGCCUUCUCAAGCAUGUCACACUACAUCUUCACACAGGCCUGGGACACCGCUAUUACCAACCCCAUCUUACAGCCGGAAACCCCGAGGCUCAGCGAGGAAAGGGAUGUGCCUGAGGGACAUGCACAAAACCAGAGAAAUGUAGGCAAAUCUCAUCUUGCAGCGUUCUUGUGCAAUUUGAGUUGAAUACGAGAUGACAAUGUGAAUGGACCUGAUACACACUUGGUGCUUAAUAAAGGCUUGCUUGAAGUCUCACAGCCAGUGACUGGUGGAAGGAAGAAUUCACUCCCAGGUCUGUCUCACCCCGGAGCCCUUUUCAGCCCCUCCUUCCACGUGAAGCAAUGAGAAUGGUGCCUGGCACAGAAUGAGCCUUCCAGAAGGGUUAACUUUGUCAAAAUAUUCCUUUCAGAAAGUUUGAAAACGUGACUCUUAUGCAGAAGGUUUAUUUAACUCAUGAAUGAGAGAACCAGCAGGAUGGUUCAAUGGAGGACAAGAUGGCAAAUUAGGUAGAAAACUGGUUAAUGUCUUACAGUGACAAAACCAUAAGCUUUAGCUUUAUUUUUAGUUCAGGACAAAACCGUUUGCAACUGUGCAUCUUUUACAAGUUAAAGUAUAACUUCACCGAGUAGGAAGUCUGAUCAAUAAUAAACAGCAAAGUCAAACAAAGGUAUGUCUCCUAGAGAAUCAGGUGACCCAGUCAGGCUGAUCAGACAGCGUCUGAGAAUGACCUCGAAAGGGCACACUGACUUCCUUUUGUCUUAUGUCUCUGUCUUGGAUAUUUUUCUUUACAACUGUUAUUACCACCAGUACCACUACUAUUACUAUGAUUCGGCUUCUCUCUGCUGAAGGGCAGCUCACAGAGCUCAUAGGUUCCUUAGAAGGACACACAGACCCCACUGUCCCCUUCACACAGGGGCCCAGGGCAGAGCCCUCGCCCACAACUGAUAGUCUGGGACAACACUGGCCAGAGAGCAGAUCCCACACAGGCUGAAGUGGGGUGGGGUUGGGGGCCAGCAGAAGAGUCCUAUGGCCCUGUUGUGUUACUAACCAUGCCAUGGAAACAUCUCUAGCGCAUCACCUGUCAAGUAAAAUAAAGCAGCCCAUACCUGAGAAGUGGAGGGGGGGGUGUGUGAUCCCAUGUAGGUCCAUAUGUGUAUGUAUGUGCAUUUGUGGUGUGCAUACGUUUAUAAGUAUAAAUGCAUUUGUAUGUACAAGUAUGGAUACAUUGAUUUAUAAGUGUGCAUGUAGGAAAGCUCUCUGGAGAAAUACCGGUGGAAAGGGAGGUAUGGACUGAGAGUUGUCGACAGAUGACCCUGAUGUGAAACCAGCACAUCUCAGUCCCAGUGCGGGGAUGUGAGGAUGAAGGGGGAACAGUCCUGUAGAACCCACUGCACUGUUUACGUUGGUGACCUGCAACGUGUCUUCCUGUGUUACUCUCUUCCUGUAUGCUAUCUAAAAUGUAUUCGUAUAUGUACGUAUACAGCGUAUGGUAGAUUUCUGGCAGCUUGUCCCAGGGACUAAGAAUGGGAGGUGGUCUUUCCCAUCGGUUUCCCCCCCACCCCCUGCCCCGUACUCUGGCUUCGCGUCAUCGUUAUUAUUUGGGACCAUGAACACCCCUCCGGCCCCGCCAUCUCUGGGGACAGAGCCCAGGCUUGCAGGCGGGGAUCCCGGACGCCGGCCCCCCUGGGGUCCCGCGGGGUGAGCCGGAGGAAGGGGUGCUGGCCUCGCAGGGCGCUCUCGCCGGCCUCCCGGGCUGGGCCGGGUCCGCA
This is an RNA transcript of Zalophus californianus (California sea lion), 3295 nucleotides long. It is a transcript of the gene named family with sequence similarity 110 member A, with no coding region annotated. The transcript is spliced from 9 exons. Lineage: Eukaryota; Metazoa; Chordata; Mammalia; Carnivora; Otariidae. The record is from RefSeq and is a predicted model, not a curated record.